AAUCAAAAUUUAAUUUUGAAUUUUACGCUAAAACGGAAUUCGGAUUUUGAAAUCACGUUCGAUUGAAAUUGGAAAACAAUCCCAACCAUUUUGGAUUCAUCAACCUAAAUCCUACUCCUAGCCCAAUUGGGCAAAGCCCAAACCAAUAAACCCAACACAAUACUCCCUUCCCCUUUUUCCUAAUUCACGUGAAACUAGAAGAAAAAAAAAAAAAAAAAAAAGAGAACCCUUUCCCCUAUUCACGUAACUGCUCCUCCUCAACAAUCCCCUCCUUGCUGCCGCCGCUCACACCGCCGGACCCUCCUGCACGUCACCGGAAUCUUGUCGACGCCGCAACCUGAUUCGCGCAGCCACCGCCAAGUCGCGCCACCGUGUGCCGCCGUGCCCAGCCCCUGCCGCGAGCCACCUCCGUCCGCCGGCUCUCUCUCUCCUCCUUCUUGAAUUGGCGGAGAAUUCUCUUUAGGCGACUUUUGAAAGUGUUAAAGUGGCCUAUCAGUUUGUUU
This is a long non-coding RNA of Spinacia oleracea (spinach), 503 nucleotides long. RefSeq lists it as uncharacterized. NCBI's taxonomy places the organism in Eukaryota, Viridiplantae, Streptophyta, Magnoliopsida, Caryophyllales, Amaranthaceae. The record is from RefSeq and is a predicted model, not a curated record. The transcript is spliced from 3 exons.